This 57-nucleotide transfer RNA is filed under the name Apaloderma vittatum (bar-tailed trogon). It matches the Rfam family "tRNA", at positions 9 to 63 of the family's 71-position model. Rfam says of the family: Transfer RNA (tRNA) molecules are approximately 80 nucleotides in length. Their secondary structure includes four short double-helical elements and three loops (D, anti-codon, and T loops). The record is from Rfam by way of RNAcentral. Lineage: Eukaryota; Metazoa; Chordata; Aves; Trogoniformes; Trogonidae.
AGCUCAGUCAGUUGAGCGUGGUGCUGAUAACACCAAGGUUGUGGGUUUGAUCCCCAU